Molecule: ribosomal RNA, 1550 nt
Filed under: uncultured Omnitrophica bacterium
Lineage: Bacteria; Pseudomonadati; Candidatus Omnitrophota
Description: partial 16S ribosomal RNA
Rfam family: Bacterial small subunit ribosomal RNA
Source: RNAcentral
UAGAGUUUGAUCAUGGCUCAGAGUGAACGCUGGCGGCGUGGAUUAGGCAUGCAAGUCGAGCGAUCGAGAUUUUGAAGCAAUUGAAGUUUUCGGACGGAUGUUGUGAAUUAAUCUUUGAUAGCGGCAAACGGGUGAGUAACACGUGGGUAAUCUGCCCUAGAGAGGAGGAUAGCUCCGAGAAAUCGGAGGUAAUACUCCAUAUAAUCUUACUAUUAAUUUAGUGAGAUGAAAGAUGGCUUAGGACUUCGGUCCGCUGUCACUUUAGGAGGAGCCCGCGGCCUAUCAGGUAGUUGGUAGAGUAAGAGCCUACCAAGCCAAAGACGGGUAGCUGGCAUUAGCGUGUGGUCAGCCACAUCGGGACUGAGACACUGCCCGGACUCCUACGGGAGGCUGCAGUCGAGAAUCUUUCCCAAUGGGCGAAAGCCUGAGGAUGCGACGCCGCGUGGGGGAUGAAGGCUUUCGAGUUGUAAACUCCUUUUGUUGAGGAGGAACACUGUUAAAUUAAUAGUUUUUCAGUUUGACUGUACUUAACGAAUAAGCCACGGCUAACUCCGUGCCAGCAGCCGCGGUAAUACGGAGGUGGCUAGCGUUACUCGGUAUGACUGGGUGUAAAGGGUCCGUAGGCGGCCAUAUGUGUGGUAGGUGAAAGCUUUCGGCUUAACCGAAAAAUUGCCUAUCAAACUGUAUGGCUUGAGGAUGGAAGAGGAGAGCGGAACUGCCGGUGUAAGGGUGAAAUCUGUGGAUAUCGGCAGGAACGCCAGCGGAGAAGUCGGCUCUCUGGUCCAUUCCUGACGCUCAGGGACGAAAGCUAGGGGAGCGAACAGGAUUAGAUACCCUGGUAGUCCUAGCUGUAAACGAUGGGCACUAGAUGCUCGUUCUUUUGAAUGGGUGUCGCAGUUAACGCGUUAAGUGCCCCACCUGGGGACUACGGUCGCAAGACUAAAACUCAAAGGAAUUGACGGGGGCCUGCACAAGCGGUGGAACACGUGGUUUAAUUCGAUGCUACGCGAGGAACCUUACCAGGGCUUGACUUGCUGGAAGUAGCCACCCGAAAGGAUUGGCCACCUGUAACCAAUCAGGAACCAGUGCAGGUGCUGCAUGGCUGUCGUCAGCUCGUGCCGUGAGGUGUUCCCUUAAGUGGGAAAACGAGCGCAACCCUCGUCCUUAGUUGCCACCUUCGAGUAAUCGGAGCGCACUCUAAGGAGACUGCCCGCGUUAAGUGGGAGGAAGGUGAGGAUGACGUCAAGUCCGCAUGGCCCUUAUGCCCUGGGCUACACACGUGUUACAAUGGCGCAUACAGUGGGGGGCUAAGCCGCAAGGUGGAGCAAAUCCUAUAAAGUGUGCCUCAGCUCGGAUUGAGGGCUGCAAUUUGCCCUCAUGAAGCUGGAAUCGCUAGUAAUGGCGCGUCAGCACGGCGCCGUGAAUACGUUCCCAGGCCUUGUACACACCGCCCGUCAAGCGCUGAAAGUGGGGGGCACCCGAAGUCCCGACUUUAGUCGAGAUCACGGUGAAUUUCAUGAUUGGCGCUAAGUCGUAACAAGGUAAAUCAC